RNAcentral lists this unclassified non-coding RNA (3023 nucleotides) under Hevea brasiliensis (rubber tree). The record is from RNAcentral. Lineage: Eukaryota; Viridiplantae; Streptophyta; Magnoliopsida; Malpighiales; Euphorbiaceae.
CAGCUCUGCAGACGGACGGAGGAAUUGGAGGUCGUCUUCUACGCUCGUUCCCAUAUAUAGCCCACUGGUCCUGCUUCUGCUCUAUAGUCGUCGUCUUCUCCUUCUCCGAUUGGAACCCUAUUCUUGAAUUUCAGUUUCAAUUUCUAUAACUUAAGAAAUAGGCGUCGACUCCACCACCACCGUCUUUCUGAAAAUUGGAAGCAGAUAAAAGAGAUAUGGCGAUGCGGGACCUAGUUGCAGGAGGAGCGGCAUGUGCGGUUCCGGGUUCUUCAUCUUCCAAUCCUCUUGGUGCUUUGGCCAAUACUCUCCUAGGCUCUUCUUCUAAGACCCAGGAAAGGUUAAAGGAAAUCCCUAUAGCGACUGCUACAAGUUCUGAGAAUCGUUUUUUCCAGGAUGUUGAGGACCCUUUGAGGGCACUUCCAGGGGCUGAGUUUGAACAACAGCCAUUUCCUCGACCCGGUGGUCAGGGUUCUGAAUUUCUUCGUGGGUUUCGCUCUGCGGAUCAGAAUGAGAAUGGACUUGCAGAUGCUUGGGAUGAGAUACAGCGGUCUCAUGUUCAUCCUCCACCUCAGGCUAACAUUCCUCAAUUGGAUCAUGUGUAUAAUCGUGGACCUCAGCUUCAACCAACUUUGGAUGGACCACCUCAAAGAGUGCUGUCAAACUUCUUGCACUCGUUUGUUGAAAGUAGCCGCGGUGCAAUCCCUUUUCAUCCUGCUCCACUGCCAUUGUUAGGAUUAUCUGAAGGCGACAAACAAUGCAUACGUGAUCGUAGCAGCAUAAUGGCUCGACACUUUUUUGCUGAUAAAAGUGAAGAUUUCAUUAAUGCACAGGUGAAUGCCUUAUUGUCUUCGUUAGAUAUUGAUAGUGAUGUCCACGUGAAGGGGCCUCUACCUGGGAGAUUUCGAGAACUAGAGGAUUACUGGAAUGAAUCACAAGGUAGUCUAAGACCAGGUCCUCAUGCAGCUGAUGGAUGGAUUGCAGAAUUUAACCAGCAUAGAUUAGAUCGUAGUGAUCCUGAUGCUUGGGCUCAUGCAUUUGAACGGCAGCACGGUGCUAAUGGUUGGGCCUCAGAAUUUGAGCAGGUACUUGCAUUUGGCAUUAAUCUUUAAAUUUGCGGAUGGAUCACACUCAUUGGUUUGAACAUCACAUGGUUGAUCUUGGAAUCUUCUCACUUAUACAUUUGUCAAAGGUGGACUUGAAAUUGUAGGUUCAUUAAGAUAUGAUUCCUGAAAAUUGGUUGUAUGAAUAUUUGGACAUGGCAUGAAUGAUGUAUUUUGUCUUGUCUUAUUUAUUUUUGGUUAUAGCAACAACAGUUGGCAUCAAUGGAUCAAAUAAGAGGUGCAAAUAUCCCAAACUUAGCAGCAAUGGAACAGACUCGUAUGCUUGCCCACACACUUGCUCAAAAUAAUGACCCUAAAUUUCAGAAUUCAAAGUUUCUUCAAUUUGUGUCAAAGAUGAGUCGUGGUGAACUUAUUAUUGAUGAUAAUCAAUUCAAGCCAGCCGCUGGACCUAGUGAUUGGGCAACAGAAUAUCAACAAAAGAAUACUGGGGGUACUUCUUGGGCUGAUGAAUAUGUACGUGAUGAGGUUUCACAUGGACCUGAUCGAUGGGUGAAUGAGUUUACCACAGAAGCAGAGCAAAAUGGGUCUGUUGAUGAUCAAUGGGUAAAUGAAUUCUCAAAGUUGCAUGUUAAUGACUGGGUGGAAGAAUUUGGGCAGCAGGUUGAGAAAGGAGAACUGGGGGAUAGUUCAGCUGAUAAUUGGGCAAAUGCCUAUGAUGAGUACCUCAAUGAACAAGUAGCUGUCAAGAAGCAGUCAGAAGCUUCAAGGGGAGUUUAUGUGUUCUCUGAUAUGAAUCCUUAUGUUGGUCACCCCAAUCCCUUAAGAGAGGGCCAGGAGCUAUUCCGCAAAGGUCUUUUGAGUGAAGCGGUGCUUGCUUUAGAGGCUGAAGUCUUGAAAAACCCAGAUAACGCUGAAGGUUGGAGGUUACUUGGAAUAGCACAUGCAGAAAAUGAUGAUGAUCAACAGGCUAUUGCAGCAAUGAUGCGUGCACAGGAGGCUGAUCCCACAAAUCUUGAAGUGCUUCUUGCCCUUGGUGUGAGUCAUACAAAUGAGUUGGAGCAAGCAGCUGCCUUGAAGUACUUAUAUGGAUGGCUACAUAAUCAUUCAAAGUAUAGAACGCUUGCCACUCCAGAGCUUGCUAAUUCAUUACAUUAUGCAGAUGUUGCUAGAUUAUUCAAUGAAGCUUCUCAGAUGUCACCUGAGGAUGCUGAUGUACACAUUGUACUUGGCGUGCUAUAUAAUUUAUCCAGGGAAUAUGACAGAGCCAUUGCUUCCUUCCAAAUGGCUUUGAAGCUCAAGCCACAGGAUUACUCCCUGUGGAACAAGCUUGGUGCAACGCAAGCCAACAGUGUUCAGAGUGCUGAUGCAAUAUUGGCUUAUCAACAGGCACUUGAUUUGAAGCCUAACUAUGUUCGUGCAUGGGCAAACAUGGGAAUCAGUUAUGCCAACCAGGGUAUGUACGAGGAGUCCAUUCGUUACUAUGUGCGGGCACUUGCUAUGAAUCCCAAGGCAGAUAAUGCCUGGCAAUAUUUGAGAAUUUCAUUAAGCUGUGCUUCUAGGAAUGACAUGCUGGAAGCUUGUGAUUCUCGGAAUAUAGACUUACUGCAGAAGGAGUUUCCGCUGUAAUAUUGAUGUUGGUUUGAAUUGAUGGAUGAAUGAUGGGUUCCCAUUUUGUGAGAGUGAGGGCUACACACUUUAAAGCCUUCUUCGUGUCACUUAAAAGCUCUUUGCAUCCACGUCGAUUUUAGGUAUGGCUGCAUGUUUUGCUACAUUCAGAUCUGCUCUUUCCUGAUCUUUGGAAGAACUUAAGUGAAAGUUUUUGAAGUUGGAAAACCACAACUGAUAUUUGGAGCUGACACUAACAAUUGUAUGUAGUUUAAGUGCUAUACUAGAAGCUGUCAUGAUUCUUAAACACAUAAAUGGAAAAGGGUAAUUUAAUAUAUAACUAGUUUUUUUGCUGCA